AUUGAACGCUGGCGGCAGGCCUAACACAUGCAAGUCGAGCGGAUGAAGGGAGCUUGCUCCUGGAUUCAGCGGCGGACGGGUGAGUAUUGCCUAGGAACCUGCCUGGUAGUGGGGGAUAACGUCCGGAAACGGGCGCUAAUACCGCAUACGUCCUGAGGGAGAAAGUGGGGGAUCUUCGGACCUCACGCUAUCAGAUGAGCCUAGGUCGGAUUAGCUAGUUGGUGGGGUAAAGGCCUACCAAGGCGACGAUCCGUAACUGGUCUGAGAGGAUGAUCAGUCACACUGGAACUGAGACACGGUCCAGACUCCUACGGGAGGCAGCAGUGGGGAAUAUUGGACAAUGGGCGAAAGCCUGAUCCAGCCAUGCCGCGUGUGUGAAGAAGGUCUUCGGAUUGUAAAGCACUUUAAGUUGGGAGGAAGGGCAGUAAGUUAAUACCUUGCUGUUUUGACGUUACCAACAGAAUAAGCACCGGCUAACUUCGUG
RNAcentral lists this ribosomal RNA (484 nucleotides) under uncultured bacterium. RNAcentral describes it as "partial 16S ribosomal RNA". It matches the Rfam family "Bacterial small subunit ribosomal RNA", at positions 30 to 507 of the family's 1533-position model. The record is from RNAcentral.